This 70-nucleotide transfer RNA is filed under the name Enterococcus sp. RNAcentral describes it as "tRNA-Ser". It matches the Rfam family "tRNA". Rfam says of the family: Transfer RNA (tRNA) molecules are approximately 80 nucleotides in length. The record is from RNAcentral. Lineage: Bacteria; Bacillati; Bacillota; Bacilli; Lactobacillales; Enterococcaceae.
UGGUAUAUAGUUUAAAGGAAAAACAGUCGUCAGAAUGCGGAGGAUGUCGGUUCGAGUCCGGCUAUGCCAA